ACUUAAAUAGUUUAAUAAAAAAUUUUAAUUUGUGGGAUUAAGGAUACAGAAAUUUUGUUUUAAGUA
This 66-nucleotide transfer RNA is filed under the name Ips sexdentatus. Its description in RNAcentral is "tRNA-His". The record is from RNAcentral. Lineage: Eukaryota; Metazoa; Arthropoda; Insecta; Coleoptera; Curculionidae.